Non-coding RNA from Cinara cedri, 821 nucleotides. The record is from the annotation of a GenBank genome assembly. NCBI's taxonomy places the organism in Eukaryota, Metazoa, Arthropoda, Insecta, Hemiptera, Aphididae.
UGUGGUCAAAAAUAGACAUUUUUUUGUUAUAUUUAAUUAUUGUAUUACAAAAAAUAUAUAAUUAUUUAUUAUAUUUAUUUGUAGUAAUUGAUAUUUUGAUAAUAAAGAUUUUUUAUUGAAGUUAGAAAAAGUCUACUGGGCUUAAUUUUAGUUACAAAUGUUCAAAUGUGCCAUGCUGUGCUGUGCUCACUUAGACAAUUUUAAUCGAAAAUACCAUAGAGAGUGAUCAUAUUGAGUUUCUCAAUCCAUUUAUAAUGCUUUUCAAUAUAUACAAUAUGCAUAAUAAACAAUUGUAUAAAACAAAAGCAUUUUCCUGUUACAUAUUAAAAUCUAUUAAUACUAAUUGAAAAUAGUAGGAUAAUUGGAUUAACUUAAUACAAUUUGAAAUAUUAAACCUGUUGUAAUAAAACACGAGAAAAAAGGUUUAGAUCUAAAAUAUGAAAAUCUACUAAUAUCAAUUAAAAUUAGUAAGAUAAUUAAAUUAACUUCAUUAAGUAUUAUUGAAAAUAAAACUAAAAAUUAAGAUACUUAAAUAAACCUAGAAAAUCUUAAAAGUAGUAAUAUAUAAAGCAUGUAUAAUAAACAAUUGUAUAAAACAAAAGCAUUUUCCUGUUACAUAUUAAAAUCUAUUAAUACUAAUUGAAAAUAGUAGGAUAAUUGAAUUAACUUAAUACAAUUUGAAAUAUUAAACCUGUUGUAAUAAAACACGAGAAAAAAGGUUUAGAUCUAAAAUAUAAAAAUCUACUAAUAUCAAUUAAAAUUAGUAAGAUAAUUAAAUUAACUUCAUUAAGUAAUAUUGAAAAAUAAAACUAAAAAUUAAG